This 242-nucleotide ribosomal RNA is filed under the name alpha proteobacterium R2A63. Its description in RNAcentral is "partial 16S ribosomal RNA". It matches the Rfam family "Bacterial small subunit ribosomal RNA", at positions 87 to 345 of the family's 1533-position model. Lineage: Bacteria; Pseudomonadati; Pseudomonadota; Alphaproteobacteria. The record is from RNAcentral.
CGGGCAUAGUGGCGCACGGGUGCGUAACGCGUGGGAAUCUGCCCUCAGGUUCGGAAUAACAGUUGGAAACGACUGCUAAUACCGGAUGAUGACGUUAAGUCCAAAGAUUUAUCGCCUGAGGAUGAGCCCGCGUAGGAUUAGCUAGUUGGUGUGGUAAGAGCGCACCAAGGCGACGAUCCUUAGCUGGUCUGAGAGGAUGAUCAGCCACACUGGGACUGAGACACGGNCCAGACUCCUACGGG